This 512-nucleotide ribosomal RNA is filed under the name uncultured bacterium. RNAcentral describes it as "partial 16S ribosomal RNA". It matches the Rfam family "Bacterial small subunit ribosomal RNA", at positions 355 to 857 of the family's 1533-position model. The record is from RNAcentral.
UAGGGAAUCUUCCACAAUGGACGCAAGUCUGAUGGAGCAACGCCGCGUGAGUGAAGAAGGUCUUCGGAUCGUAAAGCUCUGUUGUUGGUGAAGAAGGAUAGAGGCAGUAACUGGUCUUUAUUUGACGGUAAUCAACCAGAAAGUCACGGCUAACUACGUGCCAGCAGCCGCGGUAAUACGUAGGUGGCAAGCGUUGUCCGGAUUUAUUGGGCGUAAAGCGAGCGCAGGCGGAAUGAUAAGUCUGAUGUGAAAGCCCACGGCUCAACCGUGGAACUGCAUCGGAAACUGUCAUUCUUGAGUGCAGAAGAGGAGAGUGGAACUCCAUGUGUAGCGGUGGAAUGCGUAGAUAUAUGGAAGAACACCAGUGGCGAAGGCGGCUCUCUGGUCUGCAACUGACGCUGAGGCUCGAAAGCAUGGGUAGCGAACAGGAUUAGAUACCCUGGUAGUCCAUGCCGUAAACGAUGAGCGCUAGGUGUUGGGGACUUUCCGGUUCUCAGUGCCGCAGCAAAUCG